AGGAUGAACGCUGGCGGCGUGCUUAACACAUGCAAGUCGAACGAUGAAAGCCGGAGCUUGCUCUGGCUGGAUUAGUGGCGAACGGGUGAGUAACACGUGAGUAACCUGCCCUUGACUCUGGGAUAAGCACUGGAAACGGUGUACUAAUACCGGAUACGAGCUUCAGCCGCAUGGCUAGGAGCUUA
This 185-nucleotide ribosomal RNA is filed under the name uncultured soil bacterium. RNAcentral's name for it is "partial 16S ribosomal RNA". It matches the Rfam family "Bacterial small subunit ribosomal RNA", at positions 26 to 203 of the family's 1533-position model. The record is from RNAcentral.